This is a long non-coding RNA of Dromaius novaehollandiae (emu), 19053 nucleotides long. RefSeq lists it as uncharacterized. The record is from RefSeq and is a predicted model, not a curated record. The transcript is spliced from 2 exons. NCBI's taxonomy places the organism in Eukaryota, Metazoa, Chordata, Aves, Casuariiformes, Dromaiidae.
AGUCUCAAAAUAUAAAAGUGAAGAAAUGUCUAGAAAACGUAUCCAAAAUGCCCAAGAUCCUUCUUGUCACUUUCCCCCUGCCCUGAGAAGUCGUCUUAUGCCAGGAAAACUGGCACGUGGAUGUGAAGAUAUAUUGAUAAACAAAAUAUAAGAAUGCUUAGAAAAACAAAGCAUGCAUGAAAUGCCUUAGGUAGAUGAUAAUCUUUUUGGAAGGAAAUCAGAAGAUCUUACUUUAGCACUCACAAUUGCUCUUCCAAAACUCUUGAGGACCUGAGAGGUCCUGGAAUGCUGUAUCCGUGGCUUGCUCUGAUCUUGGGAGGAAAAAGGAAGAAGAGAAGGUGACAACUACUGCAGUAAGUCAAAAAUCACAUUGAAGAGACAACAUAAUUUAUAACAGAAAAUAUUAGUGAAAAAUCAAGGUUUUCUAUAGAUAGCUGUAGCUUCUCUGUAGGUCCCUGCAAUGCAUCACCAAAUUAAAAUAGGACAAAUCUGUGUAUACUUAGGUGUGUUGCAUAUACUGUGUCACUGUUAAUAAGUAGCGUGGCCCAAAAGGAGCAGACCUGUAGAACCAAAUUGGUGCUGAGGAUCCACAAUGGGCAUUGCUAGGGAAGGAAAUACUUUGGACUAGUUCUGAUCUGGUCCUGUGGACUGAAUGCCAGUUAGCAGUUGGAAUUUGUUAAUCGUGCUCCUGAAGGUCAUCUUUUGGUUUAGUUUUCUCUUGAAGGAAUCAGCUUCAUCUUCUCCAACACAAUUCUGCAAUGUGAACCAAAGCACGGGAGGAGGAGAUGAUCCUGAUCUGAAUUAAAACACUAAUGCAGACAUAUAUAUACUUAAUUGGAUCAGAACAAUGGUGAUUAUGCCACCCUUAAGUGGCAUUUUGUAUAUACUAGAGAACGCUCUAUUAGCAAAGAAAGAAAGUAACAGAACUAGGAAAACAAAACAAAUAUGACAGAGGAAUAUGAAGUUUCAUAAUAGAUGUACUCAACCAAGCUGUAAUAUAUUCUGCAAGGGCCACGAUGAAAUGUGAAAAUAAAGCUGUAAGAGAUCUGGGUCAUCUACGCUUAAAUUAAAUCAAGCUUAAAAAUGCAAAGACACUGUCCAAAAGCCUGGAAAAGUGUGCACUCAUGAUUCAAUAGGAAAAAAAAAUUUGGAAAGCAACCAUUUUGAAAGACAAGUGCACUUCAAACUGAAUCUCAUUUUGCAGUCUCCAGUCUUUAUUUGUCAUGUCAUUUCCCUUUUUCAACCAUUGAGACAAGAUGUACUAGACUAUAUAAAAUGUCACCUGACAUCUUGAAUUAAAACUCUGAAAAGCAGGGGCCGGGUGAAGGGAACAGAUCUGAUGCUGUGGUGAAACCAUCCACCCUGAAAAUGCUUUUCAAUGCAAAAGUGGUAAUUGCAUGUUACUAACUAUAACUGUAAACCUAGGCUAAUAUAAUACCGUGGUCAUCCCAAAUGUGUGUUCCUAUGAUUCUGAUCUUUUGCGUCUCCUUAAUCCCUGCACAUACUGCUUCAUGCUUGUUCACUUUACCUGCUGUCUGCGUUCCACGUGCAGUUUUUGUAAGCAGGCGGGAUUAUCUUUUUAGCAGUAUCUAGCACCUGGUGACCUUUGCAUGCUACUUGUAUUCAGAUAAGUUACUGACUGUCCACAGGGCAACAUGCAGUUUUAGGAAGCUAAGGUUAAUGAGUAAAUUUAGUUUUAUGUCCUCCUGGGUCAUACGAUACUGAAGGGCAAAAUGUGUUUGGAUAGGAAAGAUUGAAACUGUUGCAGUUGUAGCUAGGCUCUGCUCUGAGCCCCUAAAGAAAGCUUAGGCAUUUGCUGAAAUUGAAAAUGUCGUUGUUAAUGGAACCCAUAGGAGGAUGGUGAGCUAUCCUGACUGGUUAAACCUUUCUUUUCCCUGUAAAUGGAAACCGCAUGCAAUUAGGUCAGUAGGACAAAGAGAAUUUCAGUUUUUAUGCAAUAACAUGCCAUGCUUUGUACAACUCAAAAUAAGUAAGUACCAGUGUUUAAAAACAAAAAGCCAAAGAGAGGGUUUUGACUCAAAUGAAAAUCAGGCAGUUGCCUCUGGGUGUCUGCUCACCUCUGAAGAGGUCAAGAAGCAGCUCCUGAAGUACAGCACUUUUCAGCUUGUUGCAGUAAGGUACAUAGACAUCAGAGCUGGUUAAUUGAAUCAGCCAUACAAUUUUAAUUCACCACCACUUAGAAACUGAAUUCCCAUCAAAUCAAGAUGGGAUUUUUGUUUGUUUCAGUUAUUCAUAAAAUUUUAGUGAGUCACUGGUCUCGGAGAAAGCCUAACAUGUUCCAGCUCUGCCCUGAGGAGAGAAACAGGGUAUAAGCAGUGAGAGGAAAGGAGGUUAUGCUGCUGCAAUGUCUUUCUGACAGUGGUAUGCCUUUUAAUGAGGCAUUGAGAUUCCUAUUUCCUGUGUGGCAAAAGGUAAGAGUAAAUAAAAUGAAUGGGAAGGAGAAUGCAAAUGAGAAUAGGGAUAUGGGACAGUCAAACCUCCUAUCUUAAAUGUUGCAUACCAAAUAGUAAUUCAGCUAACAGCAGUUCUGUCCUGUUUCACCUGGGGCAUUCAGUGCCCUGUGCUUUCCUUCUCCCUGUACAUCUCAUUGUUAUUGAUGAGUGACUUCAAUGAAGGCUGGCUAGAGGGAGCUGGGCCUGUUCCCUUUCUGCUCUGGCACAUUGCAUACUAGACACAUCUGGUCAGCCUGAUCUUCGGUCUCCCUUAAAAGCCCUUCCUUAGAAAGUAUGUCUCAGCUGUGGCUAGUACCACGGCCUUUCUCCCAAGCGUAUGACUCCUCACAUCCGCUUUCUCAUUUAACUCCAUACUGCAAAGGAAAAUACCGCACUAGUGAGGGCUUGGGAGCUUGGGAACCAUUUAUCCAUGCUUUAACUGCUCGGUGCAUUUGGCCAGUUUUGCUGUAGGCAGGAGAAUUAGAGGAGUGCUUGGGGAGAAAACAAUGAGAAAAUGGAGACUGGAAAUGAGUGUAUCACAAGUAGACUGAAUUUAGGGGUGAGAAUGGAAGUGAGCAAGCAUAAAAGAGCAAAAAUGAGAGAAAGACUAAACAAACAAUUAUUAAUGAGGUACCAGAAGGCAAAAUUGUGCUCGUUAGUAUUAAACCUGCAUUGUCAGCCUGUCAUAAUUAGUGGGGAUGAUGACUACAUUCACAGCCCUGGAGUGGAGCUCCUGGUGUGCCCAGCUGAACCAUCAAAGCAGCGUCUUGCCAGUCACAAACACGGUAGCUGAGCACAGUACAGGGCACGGACAGAAUCCAAAGAGAAGCAGCAUGAAAGUCUCGUGCUCAUCCCUUACCUACAAGACAGGGCUCACAGGAGCCUUCUGUGCACUAGAGGAAGCGGAGGUCAGGGCAUGAGGUGAGAUUAAAAUUAGGGAGUGUGGGGCAGAGGGAAAUAAAUCUGAGGAAUGGCUUAAGGCAUAAAAGGGAUGUUCCAGGGGAACAGGGAAGGAAAGAGAAGAUGAAUGAGGAGAGAGUUCCUCUGGAUUACUGCAGAACUGGAGAUCCUGUGGAAUAAAAGUAGUAGAGAGGAAACAGUCUGAGUGGGAAGAAAACUACUGAAAUGAGAACAAAAGAAUUGGAAGGGAUGGAGAAAAAGGAAGACAGAGGGGGACAGAUUGAAGUGGAAAAGAAAAACUGGAAAAAAAAAAGAUAAUUUUAAGAAGGUAGCCUAGAUCUUGCCAACAAAAUUAUUAGCGUAUGACUGGAAGCAUCUUUCAGCUAGAAUCCAAACGUAUGUACUUCAGUUGUUUCUAGAAUACAUACGUAGGGCUACCUUUUUAGUGGAACAGGAAACUGUACCUUGACUUUUGUUCAAACUGUGCCAUUAACAGUAGCAGAAUUUGCUUUUCUGACAUUACAGUAUUUAACUUGGCAUCCCCUCUAAUGCGCAAGACAGCAGAGCCAUGAGGGAGAUGGAUUAAUAUAGGUAAGUAUUUUCUGCAUGGGAUAAGCCUGUUUAGUGCCAUUACAUUAAACCUUCUUAUUCCUCCCCUGUGGAUGCACAAGUACCUAAGCGUAUGUCAAAUACUUUGAAAAUGUUGCUGGCUAUCAGAAGGGCAGUGUCCUUGACCAUUCAUCUCUGGCACAGAGCCAUAAUUAAGGAGUUCCUCAAAUUCAGGAUUGGAAUCAUGAGAGCAUUUUAUCCCAUUUGUUCUUAUUUCCUUUACAACACAAGAAAGGUCUAUCUUGGCCUUUUUUCACCCCCUCCCCUUCUUUUAAUUUCCAGAUAAUACUGCCCAUAUUCCACAAUUCUUCUCAUAGCAUGUAGUCAGAUGAAGGUGCUCCCUCCUGAUGGCUAGUAGUCAUUUUCUGGUAAUUCUAAUAUUUCCAUAACUGAGACGGAUGUUUUGGCUACAUAAGUGCUUGCAGCUGUGGUCAGAACGUAGUACAGCCAAACACUGUCACGAGUGUAUGUUACACACCCAAAACUCAGUUCCAAAUAGUGUUUGUGCUGCAUUUUAAGUGAUCAUUUUAGUUCUUAGGCCUCUCCAUGACAAUCUAAAUUCUUGUUAUUGCAGGAUUAGUCAACGGCAAAACCUAACUGGAAGAUGACUUUUCUCCCACAGAAACAGUGGGUGGAGACCUGGGUUCACAUCCUCACUCUCUGUCUAAGUAUUCUCUGUUCUUGGCCAAAUCAGAAUGGACUGGGAUUGUGAUCCUGAGCCCAUUUGAAUAACCCAGGUUCUGUUUUUCUCAUUAUAGACACAAAUUUCAGAUCUGGGAUUCUGGUGUAUGCAUAGGUCUUUUCUAGGCUAUAUGUGAUUAUAUUAGCUCAUGGCUCUAGUCCUGAGGAGAGUGUAAUUUCAUCCUUACACUGCAAAAGGUUAAUCUCUUCUCAUUAGAAAUAAAGGGUCACAUCAUGUGGCUAAAAAAAUAGCAAAAUACAUCUGAAUUUCCUACCCGUGUGAGUAGUGGAAAAAUGAACAGGAGUGGGAAGGAGUCAUCGCAUCAUAUACUUAACUCAUCUAAAUCUGGAUGCCUAAACUAGUUUUCUACAUCAAAUUAUUCUCAGGAGGAGUCAUCUCUUUCACGCUUAGGACAGUCUAGAGAGACUGGGCUUCUAAUUUAUAUGUCAAAGACAAAUACCUAAAAAAAGGUACUGAGAAUCUCUCUCCUUCUUCCCAGUCUUUUAGACUUUUAAGCUGUUAACUUAUUUAUACUGCUGGACUUUCUGAAAAGUACAUCAAGAUGUCUUUUCUUGGGCUCCAGAGAAAUAAGAAACAACAAAGGAACUUCAAGAAAGCAGAGAAUGAAAAUUUCUCAGAAAAGAAAAACAGAACUGAAAAGAAGGAGCUGCAGAUGUGCCCAACAGCCACAACAAUAAUUGCUGCGUUUGGAGCUGACCUCUCAACCUGCGUGAACUAUGAAAGCUUAAUGAGCAAAACUGGCUAUGCAUUUAAUAAAUGAGCUGAAGGACCAAAGAAUGUCAUGUUUUGAAGACUUAGCUACAGACAAUCCAGGACGCUGUUUGGCAGUGCCUGCAUCCCAGGAGAAGAGUGCCAGAGGGACAAACCAGCCGCUAGUAGUACCUGGUGAUCAAAGUAAGUUUUCUUUCACUUUUGCAUUCCUGCAGGUGUUUGGAGCCCUUAGUUCAACUUCAGGCACAGGCUUGCAUCUCCAGUCUUUCUUCACAUAAGCAGUCUUGUGAAAAUGGAAGCAAUUCUGCCUUUGCAAACAUUUUUCAUGACAGUCUAACUUUACUGGUUCCAAUGGAAAUCCUCUAGAUUUGAACUGCUAUGAAUGAAACUGGGCUCAGACGUUCAAUGUUUGUGGGUUACAGACUGCUUAAAUGUGCAUACGCAGUGUUGUCCUCUGACUCAGAAAUAUCUUUGCCUUGGAAAAAAGUAAUAUACGAAACAAACUCUUGUCUUUCUCCAUUCACAGACCUCAUCUCUUUAAUAUUGCCCUACAUUUGUCUUAACACAAUUUAUUGCAUAAAUGGCAUUGAUGUUUUUCAUUGAAAGCAGUGAAUGAAAAACAAACACAUUUUACUAGUCUAUAGUAAUUGAGCAUGUUUGUGACUAAAUACCUCCUAAUUUGAAAGAUAUCACUAGCUCUCACUAUGACUGCAAUAAUAACAUAGCAAUGCACUUUGUUUCUGGCAUAGUUUCAGCUCUUCCAUGGAACAUAAGUCAAGAUCAUAUAUUUCAGUUAGCCUCCCAGGCUCUCAAACCUCAAUGUGAGUAAUGAAGAGAAAGCAAUUUGAUUAGCUAGUGGAGCUGACUAGAAGGCACCUUCAUUACAAAAGGAGGAUAAAAAAGGAAUCAAGCUAUACAAAAUGGCUUAAAGGUAGAAUAAUAAUAAUAGUAUCAAACUGCAUAACAAAGAAAAACAUUUGCAUUCAACUGAAAAUAGUAUUUAAGAGAUGGUACAAUGAUGUCCAUGGCUUUAUACUCUUCUGGCACUUUCAUUUUAAUGAUCUUUACCACAGCUUGAGGUCCUUUGUCUUGUCCCCCUUCUACCGACAUCAGCUGGAAGUGACAGAGAUUAAAACAAGGGUAAUUUCCCCAUGGUCAUUGCUUGGCACUAUUUAUGCUUUGCUCAGCAGUGAACUGAAGUUUAAAGGAUGAAGUACUGUCACUCAAACUGAUUUUUCCCUCCACCCUUUCUUACCAGGGUUAACCACUCAGCCAGUCACCAAGGAAACAUGUGGCUCCCUUGCCCAUCUUAUUGCCACCCUACAGCCUCAUAUGGAGAACGACACCAUAAUCUCAUUAAGAGGUUGAAUUUGCCAUUGAAGCUUGAAUUCCCAUAACAGGAUGGGAGUGGACUAAUGCAAUUAAGCAAAUCAGUGUUUUGAGCCAUUGCAUGAUAUCUAUCUAAUACCAUGAGAAAAGACUAGCUAGUUUUUUUCCUCUGUAACAAAAAAAAAGAAAAAAAAUCAAUAAACAAAUGACCAAAUCCCUCUCUCCCACGUUAUGUUCAGAGAAGCUAAUUCUUUAGUUCUCUUCCAACUGUAAAGGUCUUUCAUAUUGAAAGAUAAUUAUUCGCUUGACUCAAAACCUGAAUUUUCCCCCUCCUUUUGUCAAUAUUUCCAUCGCAGGGAUUCUAAUACACAGUUAUUAGUUUUAUCUGUGUAGCAUUUGUGGUGUGAAGGUAGAGCAGAUGAUUGUGAAACAAAACCUUAGAGAGCUUAAAUAUUAACUAAUUCUACUACUUCAGUAGCCUGCUAUUUUUGUUUUGUUUUGCUAUGGUCUUAUGGUAUGCCGUAGCGGAUACCAGAUCAGAACAAAACUCCCAUGGGUUUUAAAACUGUUUUGAGGCAAAAUGUUUUGCAAGUUUUGUGAAUGACUAUUCUAAAAUGUGCCAGAUUUUCUGGAGAUAAUUCAGGCACACUUAGUAGUUCUCUAGAAAUGUGGAUUAUUAAAUGCCUAAGGCAGAGCUUUUCUGGCUUUUGUUGCUGGGUUUUGAGGAUAAUCCAGCCCCUCCUCCCUCCCUCUCCCUGCUACCUAAACAAAGCAGCAGAAUGAACUGUAGCAAGAGUCGGGAACCAUAAAUCUUUAAAUAACAUUCCGGCAUGUGAAAUUCAAAGGCAGCGUGUUUCUCUGAGAGCUCAGGGCAGGGAUGGGAGAAGCGGCGUGCUCCUGCCGAUAACGCUGUCGCCUCUGUCACGCUGUUUCUUCCUGGGAAGGUGGAGGGUGGAAGGACCCAGGGCUGCUCUGGUACUAGGAGCCUGCGACACGUGUCGACUACCGAGGCGCGGAGGAGCGCACGGCGCUCGCUUCUCGCUGUCCUCAACGUCCAGCGAGAAAGGCAGCAACACUAAAUGUGCCUUAGUAGAUGUUAUUGUGUUACCACUUGUAUCCUCUUCAAUAAAUCCUGUUCUGCCACUGGGCACUACAGGCAGAAGGAAUGAGAACAUGGUUUAUUACUAAAUAAGGGCAUUGGUUAUGCGCUCUGCUUCAUACAAAACAUGGUCCCUAUCCUAAGCUGCUUACAAAGUAGGCAUAUAUUAUGUUGACAGGAGACAGAGUUUCAAGUGGCAAUGUAAUCUUGGCAUUUUUGCCCAAAAUACAAAUAACUCCAAGACUGAGUCAGCACUGAGAAUAUCUGCCACAAACUUGAAAACAAAAUAUAGUACAGAUAUGCUGUGGUUGUUCCAAAAGUGUCAUGGGCCUAAGUAUCUCAAUAGUUACAAACUCCCAAAAUGUGAGAGUUAAGAUGUUAGUGUAGAGAAAUGCAUGUGCUAAAAUAGAAAAUACAUGACUGAGGAUCCUAAACAAAAUGAGCUCUCCACUAUGAUGACAAUAAUCAUACAGUUUGGAUUUGACUAUUUUAGUAUUUAUGGCAUCAGGUUAGAUAAAGGCAAAAUUUAAAAAAUGAAUUGGUGUUUUAAAAUGUCAUUUUCCCUCCUGAUAUCACCACAGGACAAAAGUAAGGGAUGAUUUUUUUCCUCAUGUAAAUUCUUAUGUAACAUCAGUAUAAGGCAAUCACAUGUAGGGCGACAUGCCGGACUGUAUAUCUUUUUUUUCCUUUCAUGAUGUUUGGAUUUAAAUGUAGCAUUAAUCCUGAAUAUCCUGAUUUGAAAAGCUUAGUUCUGUAAUUUAUUGUAUGGUAUCCUUUAAAAGGCUUUGCUUUAUAGUGCGUUGUAGCCUUGAGUUAACAAUACAGAUUUCAGUUCUUAAGUUUAUACUAGCUAGUUUUGCUUGGAGAAUUUUAUUCAUUUAAAACAAUGUAGAAUUUCAAGUGUGAACACUGAGAAAAAAAUAAAAAGAAUAUCAUUAUUUAGCACCACUUAUUAGAUAAAACUUGAAGUAACAACCCAGAUGGAGAAAUUCACCAAGAUGCCAAAGAACAUAAAAUAAAACAUGCCAUCCAGUAACAUUGGGUUUACAGCUUUUAUUAUCCUAUGAACUUUUCCUAUAUUCCGAAGUUUAUGGAUUCAGAGCAUCGCCAAGCAGUUCAGACACAAUCUGUGAACCUGGCCUGUAGCUUUACAGUUGAUCUCUGAGGUUGCAGGGCUGUUACAGCAAGACCAAAAGGAUAUGCAGCAAGAGCAGGAGAACUUGAGCCCUCACCUUUGUGCUUGUAGCAAUGGUUCCCUCAGCAGUGUAACCCACCAAAGAUGCUGCCACCCUCGCUAUGGUGAACGGACCCGCUGCAGGCAGGUAGCUCAUCAGUAGAGAAGCGAGUAGCUGACUUACCUCUGAUAUCACAGUGACCCACUGAAGAAUUACCUCAGCUGUACUUCUGAACCUGCCUGGAGUCUAUCUAAUCACAGAGAUUAGCUGGAAGAGCCAUUAAUAACUUAGCAGAGUUGUAACCUUAUUUCUUCCGGUAUAUUCCAGGCACACGAUAAAAUUAAUAUUAACUACAUGAAAAGGGAAUGUAUUAUUCCAUUGUUAAAGAGGAAGAAAAAAGACCUGAUACAAAUGCUAUACUUCCUACUAUUUAAAUAAUUAUACAUCAAGCUAAUUAGUACAUGUUCUUGAAAACUCUUAAAGGGCAAGUGCCCAAAACGUGGCAUUUUUGACACAAAAGAAAACACUGAAGCCAUGUUUUGUGUCUGCCAUGAAAUGCAGCUUUAUUUGGGGACCUGCGACCACCGUCCCCUCAGUAGCUGGGGCACAAUUGUCCUGUUGGAAUAGAUCAGAGUUUCUCUUGACACGGAGUUUGAAGCAAAGUUUGUAUUGAUAAGACAUGAAGGCAAGGCAGGAGUUUUCUAAGCGGGGGGCGCCUGAGAGUGGAUAUGAGAAUGAGAAACCAGAGAAGGUAUUCACUGCUGUUUGAAGAGGUAAGAAAUGAAGAGCAGAGCUAGAGCUACCCUGUUGCCUUUACGGUGUGCCUAAGAUCUGCCAGUGGCAUCCAGCUUAAUUACACAAAUUAAAGGUGACCAGUGUAGGAUCUUCAUGUGAGUGUGGUGAUGUUCUGUGACUGGUAACAGGCCUGGGCUGAUGCAAGGAAGUUGGAUAAUCCACAUUAUUUGCUCCAAAGCAGGUAAGAUAGGAGAGCACUGCCAAGCUUCCAUGACCAGGUUUUCCUGGUACCAAGGCACAUACCUUGUUUCAUCUCACACAGGGGUUUUGAGUUCACUGAGCAGCAACCAUCAUUUUCCCUCUCCUUCUCAGCCCUCCUCCUUCCCUCUUCUGUUUUUGAGGGUUUAUUUUGUGGCUCUGUGAGUUUCUGUCACAACAAGAUUUCAAUUGGUGGUUUACACAGUCCCUCUCUACUGCAGAUCAGGCACACAAUAUUUACCUCAAUGCAACUUUGCAUUGUAUUUCUCUGUCUUGACCCAGUGGCAGACUUAAACAUAAUGGAUUCAAAUUCUGUGGGCCUCCGGCAUCCUUCCACCACUGAUCAGAAAUAGAGAGCUUUCAUAUUUCAUGUGUGGAAGGAAGCAGGAAAGGUAAACCCACAAAGAUGGUAGGAUAAGAUCUUAAAAAUUAUGCUGCAGGCAAGGAGAAAUAUUUGAAGAGAGUAGUAACAUGGCCCAAAGGGCAAGCAUGAUUUUGAAACACUGAAUGAACAAGAGUUAGAUGAGAUGAGAAAGCAGGAGGCAGAGAUAAUAAAGGCAUGGAGAUGCUUAAGGAAAAGAGUAGUAAAGGAGGAUAAACUUCAUGCCAAAAGUGAGUCUGCUUUUUUAUAUUCUGAGUGUUAAUUUCUUUCAUGCAGUCACUUAGUGCAGUAAGUGUUAGCCUAGACUGCAGCACUCAUUUUGUAUUUUUAGUCUCUUCAAGAAAAGAAAUAAUACAUGCAUAAAUAUACAGAAUAUACAUACAAUACAAUCUCUUUGCCUCUUGAGAUUAUAAACUUUUCUUGAAUAGAAAAAGUACAGUGUACAGAAUCUACAAUUAAAGCAACUACACAGAGCUUUAAAGUUAUAAAUGAUGAUAAGCUUAAAAAUGGUUAGUGACAAACUGGCAAUUUAAUAGACAUUUAAGAUUUUUCUUGCACUUCAACGGAGACAGAAGUGUUAUAAAAAUUGACGUCUCUCUCUGGAGAGUGGCAAUGAAGAUUCUUACUAUGAGAGUCCAAAAGAAAUGAGGACACAACUUGUUGUGUGGCAUGCAGAAGCACUGCAAGGUACAAAUACAUUACUGUUGACAGCAAAAAGAGUCAGGUAUGUAUUGUUCUUCAAGUGAGGGCUGUCAUACUGUAAUGCUUUACAUUAUUGUAUAGUGUUUAUUACUAAAGGAAGUGCCCCAAUUUUAAUAUCAGCACUUUGUCUGAGGAGUCUCACACACCUGUUUUGGGGGAGAAGCAACAUUGAUUCGUGUGGAAAAGACAGAAUUGACUAACACCGAAACAGAAUAGAGAAAAAAAGAUAAAAAUAAUGGUCUCAGUGUUCCUUUUGCAGGAAAGGCUCUGUGUAUGAUGCAAAUGAUACAAAAUUAAUGCAUUUGUGACAAUGAAUUAAAAAUGAGAAGUGGAAUAAAUAUAAACUUGCUGUUGUUAAAAUUAGACUGCAAUACUAUGUUCCUCAUUAAAUGCCACAUUAUACUGGCACCCUUUGGAACAAUGUUGCUUACCCUUUAAGGGCUAAGUGGCUUCUUUGUCAUAAAAUGCAGAGACACACAAAAUCCUGGUGUGACAAAAGCCUACGAUGUGCUGGGUGGGUCUGUUAUGAUGACGCACUAAGAAACUGGCAGCGGGUAUUAGACACAGCCAUGGUUUGUCAUAGCCUUCUCCACCUCCUUCCAGCUCCCCUCCCCUUCUCCUCUGAGUUCUUUUUGUCCACUUGGAAAAGGCAGGUGAAGUACAGGUAGAGAGAUAAGUACAAAUUACUAUCAGGCUGCAGUGGGAUAAUUUUCCUAACAUAUUGUAAUACAAAGUAUGUCCUAGGUCUAAAGGAAUUUUAUUAAUUGUUGGAAGGUAAUUUGAUUCGUGAACUUGCUUCUCUUUUUUCUCUCACCCAGAUUCUUUCCCCGCUUCACCCAAAUUCUCCCCUUUGCUAUGUGAUGCUAGAUUUAGAGAAAUCUAGGUGAGCAGUUUGAUUUAUAAUCCAACACUAGUUAUUGAUAAUGUGUGCAAAACUCUCUGGUUCAGUACAGAUCUUUAAACAGUGACAAAAGGUUGGCCCACUUGUCAUCUCCAAAUUUUUCUCAGCACACACAUUUUAAGAUGCCCAAAUGGCUAUUUUCUUAGACAUUGUUGCCCAACAUAAUUUUCUUACUUUUAACUCACAGAAUAGUUCCUUUUUAAAGCAAACUAACAAUUGAAAACUUCUCUGACAAUUCUGAUAAAAUUAUUACACUAAAAAAUUGCCACAGUGAUCUUGGUUCAAUCAUUUUGAGUCCUAAAAAUUGUCUGAGCUUUGCUAUAUUCUUUCUAUAAAUUUUCCUCAAAAUUCCAUUUUUAUUAUGAUCUAUUCCCCCAAUUCAGUAUUUACUCAAGGAAUUUUCUAAAUCUUCUUUUAAAUUUGUUAGCCAAGCUUUCCUUGCUGCUGAUAGGCUCUGGUGAAGAGUAUAUGUUUUAGCUUAAAUUUUAAAACUCUGUGGAGUUCCCUCCCAUAAAAAACAGAAGAGAGAAGAAAGGUUCAUUCAUGUUCAUUGUCUUGUCAUUACAUUUUCUAGUCUAUCAUACAUUUCUCUUUCAUUGUUCUUAAUCUGGCUGAUUCUAAACUUUUAGAAAUCCCUCUCUAUCAUAGUUAAUCAUUGCAUAAAUGAAGGUUACUCUGGGGUUAAGAGCACAGAAAUCAAUGUGCAUUGCUGCUUCCAGAUUCCACCAGCCCAGAAGUAGGAAUCAGGGCAUGUGUUUUGAGGUCCUACUUGCUCAAGUGGACACAACUUGACAUAAGCAACUUAUGAAUAGAAGAUAACUGAAAUAAGUAAUGAAUUUUGGAAAAGCAUAAAUGGAUCUUUAGCAAUUUGCACGUGUAGGCAGAAGCUAAAAAUAAUGAAUACAUUUUAGAAACAAUUAUUCACUCGGCUCUAGUCUACUACCUUCCAUAGACCUAACGUAAAUUUUUCACAAGAUGGUCACUUAGCUAAUUUCAUCAAGGUCUUCCUAGAGCCUGACAGUAUUGAGCAAAUUUGGUGCUUCCUCAUUCACGUUGUCUGAAUUAUUAAUAAAUAGAUUGAAAAUAGCAAUUAUAUUGGAAUAUUGCUUGAUGAAUUUCCACUAUUAACCACUUUCCGUGUUUGCCAGUUAUUCCUACAGACUUCCCACCUUGCAGUCAGUUUUCAAUUCAUUACAAGAUGAAUUGUCAACAAGCUCAUAAGACAGAUUUAUCAAAAUGCUGCAGAAAAUGUUUUUAAAUAAAUUGCAAUCGCUGUUUCCUUGCAUUUCAUAAACUCCUGGACAUAUUAGAAAAGCAUUAGUCAUUCUAUGAAAGUCUCUCUGGUUUCAUUAUGCUAUUUUUAAUUAGUGUCUACAAUGCAGCUAAGGCUGAGUCAUCUCCUGGACUCUUCCAGACUGGCCCCGCAGCGGGGUGGCAGUAGUGCGGCUUGCAAACCCACGCUGCAGAAGGGGCUCGUUCUCACUCCCGUCGCAGCUCUGACGCUCCUGAAGCACCUAUUGCCUACGAUAAAUUAGCUCAGGAAGUUGCUAAUGCAAUGUUAGUAUAAAAAAGACAGCACGGGAACUUGUAAUUACUCCCAGACCAAGAUACGUAUCCAAGAAACUUCGCUUUUGUUUUGUUUUUAAUGUAAAAAAUAUCUUUGUGUGAAUAUUGGAAUAAUUAUAUACAUGUAAGGCAUUCAAGUAGGUCUAACAUCACUGUGUUAUCACCACGCUGUAACGUCACGAUUAUAAAUAGAAAAUAUUCAGGCUUGUAGUUCCACCGCCAGGCAAGAAAUUGAAAAAAAAGCUGUUUCUUCUUUCAGAAGCUAGAGAAUAGAGUCCAAACAAGCUAACAUAAAUACAGAACUUUUCCUCCUCCUACCUGGUUUUCCUGCAGUGGCAGGGCACUGUCCCACUUCAGCAUAUUUCUGAAAUGAACCCUACACACUGAGAUGCACUAAUUAAUUAUCAGAUUGUACCUUAUUUUUUAUAAAAUGUGGGCAUUUCCAGCACUAAAUGACAUAUAACUGGUUCAAAUCAGCCUGAAAUCAGAACAGCCUAAAGUUCAGAAAAGAUAUCAUAGUUAUAUCAUUGCUUAAUUUUCAAGUCUUUUUUUUUUUCAGAAUGCUAUUCAAUCAGUAUUAAGGACACUUUUUUCUUGAUAUGCUACAGUAAAAAAUGUUUUGCUGAUCUGAAAACAUUUUUGGUGGACUUUAACUCCCUAUCUUAGUGAAAAGCUUCAUUGUUGAACCAUUUGUUACAGAUGCAGGGAAACCGUAUGUUGUUGGUUCUGCUACAGAUCAGAUAAUGACUGUAAUACACUACAAGUAUUGUUAAUAUUGUAUUAAUUGUAUUAACUGCAAGACAAGUUAGUAAAGAAAGCAAAGCUUAUCCUUUGACUUCUGAACAGGAGGUGCUGACAGCAUUCAUUCGAACUCACAAAUUAAGGACUUACUUGCUGGAAGAGUAUGGAGCCUUGUACGCACCGUUGGGCUUUUUGUGACUCCUGUAUACCUUUGUAUCUAUAUUGUGCCUCUCUUUUCCUCUGCCAACAAUGCCUCGUUUCCAAACAUCCCUCUGAAGUAUGGAAGCCGGUAUUAGUUUCUUGUGCUUCUCUCUCUUUGGGAAUAAUGCAUUCCUACUCAUUGGUUGCUGCUGCUUCUGUGCCUUUAUUUUUCAGUACCUAGUCACUGGCAGGUGGGUAUGAGUUUGCAUGUUCCUAAAAAAUCAUUGAUUUCCCAGCUGAUUGUAGAGCCUGCUCAGAUGAGCCUACGCUGCAGGAAGGAGCUAUGAGCUUUGGCACCAAGGUCCUGUGUCAUGGAGAUCUUGACUGUCACGCGACAAGGAUGCGGUGAAGUGCCCCAAAUUCUGGUGGGAGCGUCAGAGGGGAAACUCCACGUGGAAACGCUGUCGAGAAAGCAGAGUUGCACAGGCGGCUUCCCUGAACCCUGACAGAACAGCAGAUGCACCGAGGACAAAGCCGCUCCUGAAUGGUCACAGUCAGGGUAUUCGUAAGAAGCAAUUGUUUGGGAUUUUCACAGACACAAAAACUAGGGAGCAGCUGUCUCCAAGACCAGAUUCAACUCAAAAACAGCUAGAUCUUUGAAAGAAACCAGCCCUUAAGCCUCGGGUCCUAAAGGCUUAGGAUCAGUUGGAGGUAGAUUAAUUGAAAUUACUGAAAAAAGACAAAAUAAAGAAUACAGCAGAUCUGCCCAAAGACAAACAACGUCUUAGGAGGAGUUGAAGUGGGAAGGAGAAAAAUUUUGGAUUUACUUUCUGCUGAGAACUGCCUCCCUUAAUCAUGGUCAGAAAAAAAUAGCUGAAGAGGUGCUAGUGGUCAGAGGAAAUAAUACAGUGGGAAUGAAACUCUGUGGAAAAAUACUGAAGCUUUAAUUGCUACAUUUGGCAUGGAUAUAUCUAGGAAGUUAAUCCUAUUGAAUGUUUGCUAUAUUUGGAUAUUGGUUAGUUAUCAGAGGUAUGUGUGUGUGCAGAAUAUGACAUUUUCUGCACCUUUCUUCAGCCAACUGUACAUUAGAAAUGGGUAAUUUAUCGUAUUAUAAGAUUGAUGUUUUGCUCAGUGUAAAGGUGACACUUUCCCUUGCAGAAUAUCCAAACUAACACUGCCAGCCAACAGUCAUUUUAUUAAUCUGCCCCCUAGGCUUUUAAAAUAUGUGUUUCAUAAGUGCAUGAAAUAUUUCUGGUGUUCAGGUAAUAUCAAACUAUAACGUACAACAGUAUAUCCAGUACGCAUGUGAGUUUCAACAGCCACAGUCUAUGAAAAGCAUCUGUCUUCAGUAAGUAACAAGUAUAUGACCUGUUUUUCUUUUUCCUCACUGAAUAUCUGGUAGAUUAAUGCCAGCUUUCUGUGUGAACUCCUUAGUGAGAAAGAUGGAGGAUGCAUGUCUCUUCUCGGUUCCUCUGAUUACAGCCAGCCUUUGAUUCCCGGUGAUUCUUUGCUUACCUGAUUGCUCCCUUCUGAAUGUCACCAGAACUCCAGACGCUCAAACCAGUCAAACCUUUCAUAGCUUUGAAAGUCUUGAUUUAGUACAGUUAGCAAAGAAGAAAUAAUGCUCAACUGAACUGAGCUACACCUGUAGCACGUAAGGGUUAACCAGAAAUAGAAGAAGCUGUAUCAACUCUAGUUUAAAAGGCCGACUUGUUGAGAUGCCGUGUGUAAUCUCUGGAAAGUUAGGGAGCUGGAAAAUGAGUAGUACAUGGUGCUAAGCCCCAGACAGUUCAGCUUACCUGUUUCGAUAACAAGAUCCCAGGUACUAGUACCUACAAUAGUGAGCUGAUGAUGGAUUUCUAAGUGUGCAUGUGGGUGGUUGUUGAGGCCAUGAGUGGUUUGUAAGGAGAAAAGGUACAAACUCAUUAAUAUUGGAAGCUGCAGGUUUGCCUUGUUUGGCUCUGAAAUAAGCAAUAAUUCUAACAGCAUGGUAUAUGCUUCUUAGUGCUUGAGGUCCAUGGACGAAGCUUAGUGCCUAUAGCAAGAUAAGUGAAAUUCAGGGUUUUUUUUCCCCGUUGGACACUACGGUCAGUUGUACUAUGCAGAGAAGCAACAGUGGGUAACAGACCAAGUCAGACAUCAGCAUGAACUUUUGUGACACUCAAAGAGACAUCACACUGGAAAAAUCCUGCCUUCCAGUGCUGGAAGCACUGGACUUUGCGUUCUGAUGCUUUGACAUUUCCUCAUGUGAGAAAAGGACUGGGCGCACUGGGGAAUGCCCACCCUUAACAAGGCUGCAGCGUUCAGCUCAGGGUGUAAGUACCCCCACAGGCAACUAGCAGCUGGUUCUUCUCCCCAAGCCCCCAGCAGCCUUGGCCUCUGGGGCGUCAGAGCACCUCUGCCACACUUAUGGGACUGAGCUCGUUGGAGGAGAUGGUGGUGGGAUCACCACGUCCUUCCUUACCCUUCCCGUGUUACACGGGAGCCUGGGGCUCAGAGCACCUGCCUGGAAGUCACCUCUGUCACUGAAGCCAAACUCCCCGAUUUGUGACAAGCUCCCUGACCAAAGGAGCCUUUUGUUAUUGUCCACCAGGCAGCCCACUGACCAGAUACAGCCUGUGGGAUGUGCUUCUCUAAGCUGUUUUCUUUUUCCAGAGGAAAUUGCUGCUGUUUGAGCAGCAAACGCUGUGUGACCAGUGCAACCGCCCUUGCUUGCUGCAUGUGGGAGUGGUGGCGGAGGAAAAGGGGUCUGUGCCACAGUGGGGGCUCUAUUCCCCACUGCUGGAGCAGCACGUAACCACACAGCAGGGCAAAUUUGCAGCCAGGACAGGGGUCACUAACCCAGAGGUGGCUGAAGAGGGAGAGGAGGGGUGGGAGGGGAGCUGCUUCUCCCAUGGGGGCCAGUUGCUGCUUGCAUAGAGAGGCUCCUUAGCAAGAAGGGCAAGAAAGCUGUGUUUGCUUCCUGUCCGUGCCCCAGGAGGUUUCACACAAAGGCUCAGCUCCAGCAGGAGUGACUGAUAGUCGUGCCAAUGCCUCGCUGUUUGGGGGGCCAGGCUUCAAGCUGGAGGGGUUAGGCUUCAAUCCCCUCAGACUGGCAAGGGCUUCACAGUCAGACCUUUCCCUUGCUGCCCCACCACAUUGCUCCCAGACCCUCUGCAAGAGGUGGGGGGCUGCUGCUUUCUCAGCAUAGAAGAGGACUGCGGGGCUUUGAAUCCCCCAAGAAGAGGGAGCGGUUGAGGGAGCGGUUGUAUAAAAAUUGGAGCAGUGAACUUUAAAACGUCGCCCGUUUUUCUGUUGAAGCUGUGAGUGGUGGUUGUUGCCGUCCCCUGUAGCACCUGCUGGCCCUGGGUAGGAUCCCUCCAGGCAUGUGCAAUCACAGAGCACAGUGUGGCCGCAAAGAAAUUACAGCUCACGAUCUGCAACUUAAAAGGGGGGGGGGGGGGGGGGGAAAUGAUACAAGCAAUCAGAUGUAUGCUGUUUUAUUCAUACAUGUGGCAUGCGUGGAUACUUUUGUGUCUACAUUUUUCUGUUCUGUUUUCAUUCCAUAAACAUCAGCGCUUCUUUUUAACUCCGAGCCUGGCCAUUACAAGCUGGCUCUUCUCAUGGUGCUGUUGAAGUAGAUCUCAUUGAAUAGGAGAAAAUAACAGCUCAGGCUUAGGUUACUGUAAGCUGGGCUGUCUGAGGGACAAAUUUACAUUUAGACUGAGCCUCUUCACAUCUUCCCUAAGUAAUUGUAAACUCUCCUGUGCCUCAGCCCUAGGAAGGAAUUUAGGGAGCCCUGCACUGCCAAACUGUGCCUUAUGCUUUGUAAAAUGUUUGAUAGCUAAUCUAAAUAGUCAGGCUUAGCAUCUACUUUUCAUAAUUAUUUGUGCAAGUACAACUCGGUUAUCAAAUGCCUGCAUAUAUCAGACAAAGGACAUGGGCAUUGCCAAAAUAAAUUUGUUGUGAAAGUGUUAUGUCUGAUUAUUCAUAUUAUUCAGCCACCACCCAGAUGUCCUAUUAUUUAGGAGCUGCACGAGCAUGUAAGAAACUGUUCCACCACCAGGGAUGUAUGGCUAAUUUAAGAUAAGAGACAACAAUUGAACAUUAGAAGCAAAUAAAAAGAAUGGGAGAGGAGAAUUAGAGUAAGUGCGAUAGACAGUCUGUAGCGGCAUGCUCCUGUGUGAACCAUUAGUGAGUUUUGUGUAAAGGGAAGAAUGGUUUGAUAUAAAUAAAUAAGAAAUAUGAUACUGGUAUUCCUUACCAGGCAUUUGCCUAGCCCAAUGGAGAUUUCUGUGGUAUGCACUUAGCUUUCAUAUUAGGAUCUUAUUCUCAUUCACGCUGUGCCCAUUUACACCGCUUCGUUAGGGAUCUCCAAAUGGCAUUACACAGGCAGCAGAAGACAGAGGAACACAGCCAAAACACUACAGCUGGGCUCGUACCACAGAAAUUCGCCAUCUGUAUCCAGCUAGGCACGUGCCCAGCAAGGGUUACUGAUACUGCAUUUCUUUGUUACUAAAUUCUUUUUACUGCUGGAGCAAUGUAAAGGGCUCUUAGUGUGACUGAGCAUUGGUCUCAGUCUAAAGUGUGUUUGGCUGUCUUACAUUUUCAGUUCCACUGCGAUUUUGUUUGAGUGUCAAUGCAAAUAAAUCACUUGUUAUGAUGCCUA